ACUUGGAUGGUUUUGGUUUUAUACGAGUUUCGUUGGAAGUUAUUUUCUUUUAAUGUUAUUGGACAGUGGUAUGUGCUCAUGGUUGGAGGCAUGGAGUUUGGUUUUAGCGGUAGUGAUUACAGAGGGCAGUAGUUAGGAUUAGGCUAAGUUUUAUUUUGAUAGGAAGUGGUAUUCUGUAUCUUCAAGUGUAUAUAUGUAUAGUUAGUCAUUUUGUUCUUUGUUCUUUUAUUCAGGUUAACAUCUUUUUGCGCAUUCGAUUGCAUUACUUUUGGAUUCAGGCAAGUUGGGAUGUUAGGCAAGGACUCUGGCGGCAUCUCGGGGAUUCUUUUGUUUGACCUCCUUAGGGUGUCUCAUCUUAGUUUUAUUUUAAUAAAUCGCUUCCGCAUUCAAAACAAUUGUCAAAUAAUGAAUUCUUUUUAUUAUUGUUGAAUUACUGGUUAUUGUUUAGUUCAUGGGAUGGUUGUACCCCAUGUUUAUGAUUGAGACUCAUUUGGCAUUUGAUUUGAUUAAUAACGAAAAAGGGAUCAUUUGAUUUUCAGUUA
Molecule: long non-coding RNA, 542 nt
Organism: Rhododendron vialii
Lineage: Eukaryota; Viridiplantae; Streptophyta; Magnoliopsida; Ericales; Ericaceae
Exons: 2
Source: RefSeq, a predicted model, not a curated record